AAUAUUGCACAAGUGGGCGCAAGCCUGAGUGCAGCCAUGCCGCGUGUAUGAAGAAGGCCUUCGGGUUGUAAAGUACGUUUCAGCAGUGAGGAAGGUGUUGUCGUUAAUAGCGGCCUCAUUUGACGUUAGCUGCAGAAGAAGCACCGGCUAACUCCGUGCCAGCAGCCGCGGUAAUACGGAGGGUGCGAGCGUUAAUCGGAAUUACUGGGCGUAAAGCGCAUGCAGGUGGUUUGUUAAGUCAGAUGUGAAAGCCCGGGGCUCAACCUCGGAAUUGCAUUUGAAACUGGCAGACUAGAGUACUGUAGAGGGGGUAGAAUUUCAGGUGUAGCGGUGAAAAUGCGUAGAGAUCUGAAGGAAUACCGGUGGCGAAGGCGGCCCCCUCGGACAGAUACUGACACUCAGAUGCGAAAGCGUGGGGAGCAAACAGGAUUAGAUACCCUGGUAG
This 445-nucleotide ribosomal RNA is filed under the name uncultured bacterium. RNAcentral describes it as "bacterial SSU rRNA". It matches the Rfam family "Bacterial small subunit ribosomal RNA", at positions 360 to 793 of the family's 1533-position model. The record is from RNAcentral.